GAGAGCAAAGAAGAGUAAGAACAAGAUGGAAAAAAAAAAUCUCCUAUCAUCAGUAUGUAGCAAAAUUGCCCUAUCAGUUGACGGUAGAGUAAGCCAUUGGAACAAAAAUGUAAACAAAUUGCUAGUGAAGCUUUGUUGCACUUCUAUCCACAUUGAUGUCUUUGAUAAGUUCACCGCAAUAUGCUCCACAAACAAUUAAAUUCAAAUUUGAAACUAGAUUUACAGUAUUAGUUUAAAUUAAUAUGUGCAGCCCUGCAUGCACUAUUUAACAGACAAAUUCACGUUGUCAUCCUUUUUAUCUCAUUAUAUUUGCAGUAGCUUGUUUCAUGUAACACCAGCAGCCACAAGCAAGAGCAACGUAUUCUAUAUGAAUCAAGCAUUCCUACCUGAAGGACACUGCAAAAGAAGACAUUCAUCAUAGAGAACAUUGCAGAUCUUUCCAAAUUUGCUAUCAGCAAAAGCAGCCAAAACUCUUAAAACUUCUAUCCUAUUGUAUUGAAGAGUCGCCUUGAAAGCCAAGGAGAAUAUACUAGUUACAAAAAGUAUGUUCUGUACCGGUCUAUACUGUGGUAAAAGUUUGCCAGUUCUGCAUAGAUACACUUUUAGCAUC
RNAcentral lists this long non-coding RNA (610 nucleotides) under Nicotiana tabacum (common tobacco). RNAcentral's name for it is "long non-coding RNA (NTAB_LNC009368)". The record is from RNAcentral. Lineage: Eukaryota; Viridiplantae; Streptophyta; Magnoliopsida; Solanales; Solanaceae.